UACGGGGGGUGCAAGCGUUGUUCGGAAUUACUGGGCGUAAAGGGCUCGUAGGCGGCCAACUAAGUCAGACGUGAAAUCCCUCGGCUUAACCGGGGAACUGCGUCUGAUACUGGUUGGCUUGAAUCCGGGAGAGGGAUGUGGAAUUCCAGGUGUAGCGGUGAAAUGCGUAGAUAUCUGGAGGAACACCGGUGGCGAAGGCGGCAUCCUGGACCGGUAUUGACGCUGAGGAGCGAAAGCCAGGGGAGCAAACGGG
Molecule: ribosomal RNA, 253 nt
Filed under: uncultured bacterium
Lineage: Bacteria
Description: partial 16S ribosomal RNA
Rfam family: Bacterial small subunit ribosomal RNA
Source: RNAcentral